RNAcentral lists this RNase P RNA (483 nucleotides) under Candidatus Falkowbacteria bacterium CG1_02_37_44. RNAcentral's name for it is "RNase P RNA component class A". It matches the Rfam family "Bacterial RNase P class A". Rfam says of the family: Ribonuclease P (RNase P) is a ubiquitous endoribonuclease, found in archaea, bacteria and eukarya as well as chloroplasts and mitochondria. Its best characterised activity is the generation of mature 5'-ends of tRNAs by cleaving the 5'-leader elements of precursor-tRNAs. RNAcentral also lists the same sequence under 3 other names. The record is from RNAcentral. Lineage: Bacteria; Candidatus Falkowiibacteriota.
CAGGGUAAGUGGACAAUCGCUUCAUGCUUUUUUGUGUGGAGAGGAAAGUCCGGACUCCCUCCUACGCUGAAGCUUCGGAGGGCAGGCCUUUAGGGGUUUGUCUUUUGAUGAAGUUUUUUGUAGGUGUUGAGACAGUCGCUAACGGCGACCAAGAGCAAUCUUAGGGAAAGUGCCACAGAGACAAUACUAGCUAGUAUUUUUAUACUAGCCAAAGGUGAAAAGUUUUGAGGUGGGCAAAAUAGUUAGGAUAUCUGCUAUUAUGCGCUACUCAAUUCGCCCUCUGGCGACAGAGCGCGCGCGGUAAACCCUGUCUGGAGCAAGAGCAAACCCCUCACUUUUUGCAUAAUUUAUUAAAUUGCGCAAAAGGUGAGGGGGAAAAGUAGCUCGCUUGACCCCGUGGGCAACUGCGGGGCUAGAUAAAUGAUCGUCACCUGGCGCUUUUAGUGCUGGGAACAGAAUCCGGCUUAUAGCUUGCCCUGAUAU